Molecule: long non-coding RNA, 470 nt
Organism: Corapipo altera (White-ruffed manakin)
Lineage: Eukaryota; Metazoa; Chordata; Aves; Passeriformes; Pipridae
Exons: 3
Source: RefSeq, a predicted model, not a curated record
GUCCUUCUCACACUCACAUCUCCCAAACUGGAAUUGCUGCUCUGUGGUUCAUUCCCUUCCCAGUGCCCCUCCUCUCCUUCCAGCCAGACCCCCAGGGAGGCACCUCUCACUCCUGAGCUCAUUACUCAGAAAUCCUGGAAUGGAAACAGCUCUGGGAAGACACAGCCAGGAAAGCAAAGCAAGGCAACACAGCAGUAAUCAGUGAGGUGAUCUCUGAAAGCAAACAGGAGCUCCUGGGAUAUUUUCAGUUAGGUGGUUGGAGGAAAAUCUUUGGGCAGAGGCAACAAAAGUUGUCUUUUGCAACUUGAAUAAAUUCACUCUGCUCCUCACAGAAGGAUGGAGAAUGGGAGUCCAGGCGGUUGCUUCCCAGCUGGAGUGCAGAGGAGAGUCCUGGAUGCCCAAGGAAGUGCUCCACACACUUGAAAGACACACUGGAUCCAUGACAACUUCCCAGGCUGUUCCAAAGGACA